UACGUAGGGGGCAAGCGUUGUCCGGAUUUAUUGGGCGUAAAGAGCUCGUAGGUGGUUCGGUAAGUCGGAUGUGAAAUCUCCAGGCUCAACCUGGAGGGGUCAUUCGAUACUGCCGUGACUAGAGUUCGGUAGGGGAGUGUGGAAUUCCUGGUGGAGCGGUGAAAUGCGCAGAUAUCAGGAGGAACACCAGUGGCGAAGGCGCACAUCUGGCCCGAUACUGACGCUGAGGCGCGAAAGCUAGGGGAGCAAACGGG
Molecule: ribosomal RNA, 254 nt
Filed under: uncultured bacterium
Lineage: Bacteria
Description: partial 16S ribosomal RNA
Rfam family: Bacterial small subunit ribosomal RNA
Source: RNAcentral